UUUAUUUCUUAUAUAGAAACAAACGUAUACAGUCACAUUUUAAAAUUCUGUAGUCUUAUUAUAUAUAUAUUUUUUUUCUUUAAAUGGAUAACAAACUUUAUAAAAUUGUGUUUCGGCAUGUCUACUGGACAGUUAGCGAAUACCAAGCCGGGCCAAACCAUUUUGUUAAUAAGAUUACCAUUUAUGAAAUGGUCAUAAAGAAGAUGCGGCGCAACAAACAUAACGAAAAUCUAAGGGCUCUAAUAGAUGCAGCCUUAAAAGAGUUAAAAGAGUGUGGUAUUGUGGCCUUUGUGGAGCCGGACCUCUUUGGCAUCUAUAAAGAAAUACCCCCCAAUUCGGCAAUGUUUAGAUCAUAGGCUGCGUCGGGAGCUGCGGGGCUAGGAGUAGCAACUGUUGCGAAAAAAAAAAAACAUACAAAUAGAUAUUAGAAUAAUAUUAUAUAUUUUUUAUAGCGGAAUCAAAACAAGCGGAACUUACAAAUUGUAUCGACCAAGCACUUUCCAAUCUAAAGAGAUCCGGAAUAUAAGCAUACAUAACUCUGCAAUGUUUAAAUAAUUUAACUCCGUUUGUUUUUAAUAAAUUUCCGUCUUCAAACUUUAUUCCAUUUCAGGGGCUCAAACCGCUUUAUUAAAUAUCCAAAUCAAUAGGCCGCCAAGUGCUUGAUAAGGAUUACAAUUUGAAUUCUAAUAUACUGUGCAGUCAGAACUCAACCUUAUUACUCGCCUGGUUUCUCCGUUGGAAAAUAAAAAUGAACACCCUGAAAUCCGUUCAAAUAACAUUUACAUUGAAAAGGGCGAUUGGGCAGAAGUUUUUAACGGUUCAGCAAUUCCGUAAAGCAACUCUGUGAAGGAUCUUAGCUUGCAUCUCGAUCGGAGACUUACAUGGACUACUUCUAGCAACUCAAAUAUUGAAAUUAUUCAGCGCUUUCAGUCAAAAAUAUUGCGAUCCAUACUAAAGAUAGACUUCACAGACACCAAAAUAACCUAGCCCUAAAUCUAACAGUUCAUAGUCCAGCAGUAAGAAGACUUCAAAGAGUGCAUAUUCUCGAUCUCGCGGAAAGAUACAUUAAAUAGGUUAAACUUUAACCUAACAUACAAAAUAAGUAAAAUAUCAAAGUAGGCUUCACUGGAAACUUUCUAUUCCUGUUAUUUUGAAUUAUAGCUGACUAAA
Long non-coding RNA from Drosophila virilis, 1170 nucleotides. RefSeq lists it as uncharacterized. The record is from RefSeq and is a predicted model, not a curated record. Lineage: Eukaryota; Metazoa; Arthropoda; Insecta; Diptera; Drosophilidae.